Molecule: long non-coding RNA, 503 nt
Organism: Malania oleifera
Lineage: Eukaryota; Viridiplantae; Streptophyta; Magnoliopsida; Santalales; Ximeniaceae
Exons: 2
Source: RefSeq, a predicted model, not a curated record
CUCACGACCCUCAAUGUCCCCGUCACGGUGUCGCACCAACUCCUCAUCUGGACUCCCGACUCGGCGAGAUAGCAAUCUUUGGACUCUGGCGUGGCUAGGACCCUCGCCGCCUCGCGCACGACCUCAUAGGCGACUAGGGCAACAAUAAAGACUCGUCGAAGAAUAGAUAAACUAGUCGACGAGGGGUCUUCUCUAUCUCAACGACAAGUGUCUUGUCUUCGUCAACGAGUGCUUCAAGGUUGCGAGAAAAUAUUUGAAUUUUGAACGUAAACAGUGUGAAGGUUGGGGAUUCGGAGGGAAGCUUCCGAGGGCUUGUUAUAUAUGUUCUUCUAGGCAUAUUUUGACAUAAAAAGAAAGUAAGAGAAGGGUGAGAGAAGGAGAGAAAAUCAUUGAGUGUAUAUCUUUGAUUUUCAUAGUGAAAUCUCUUGUCAAUUGCUCUCGUGGAUGUAAACUUUGUUGAAUCACGUAAUUUCUAGUGUCGUUGUGUAACGACCCGGCCCUUU